AGGCGAAAUGCUUGCGGCGACACUACUAAUACAAAUUCAUGAAUACAAGAUACAAAUAAAAACUAAAAACCGUGGGGUGGGUAGGAGUACGACGAAUAGAUGUGUUGCCAAGUUGUUCAAUUUAUUGCAAAAUUGUUUUAUUAAAAUAUUCAGAUUACUUGGAUAUUUAAUACUUAAUUAUUUAAUAAAUUAUUUCAUGGAACACCUUGAAUAGGUUCGCGGAACAUCGGUUCUAUGGAACGGCAGUUCAGAACCACUGAUGUAGGCAGUUCCAUGAGAGCAACCCACACUACCAAUGUUAAUACACUACUAUGUUGUCUAUUGACACACAUCAGUCAUCACUGAUCAUCUCCUCCAAACACUUUUUCUAUGGUCUCUGCAACCUCCACAGAAUGAACUUGACACUUAUCUGUGAUGCUUGUUUUCACAUGUUUUUGAAUUUCUGGAUUCAAUUUUGGACAGCUUUUCUUGACAUGCACCUUUCACUGUAAACUGGAAGCAUUUCUUAUAAACUACUUCUGUGACCAGUCCUUUGGCCCAAGGAAAGUCACAAUUGCACACUAUUCUCAUAUUCAUUUAUGCAACACAGUUGCAUGUUAAAUUGGCUACAGUUGACUGACUGUGGCAUGUAGGGUAUAACAUUAGUUCUGAUUUCUUAACUUCUGGUAUUCUAUCUACUGGCACAAAAUGCAUAUUGAAUUUUAUAUGGUUUUCAAUCUGUAUGGAUUUGCUACCUAAUAUAUGCAGAAAAGAAGACUUUAAACAGCCCUAACACUGCAAUCAACCAAUGAUCUAUUAUGUAAUUCUAGCAGAAUCAUUCAAUAAGAAGUCCAGUUAUAUACAUGAGACAGAUCUUUUUCAGUUCUGUUGCAAAAGAUCUUUGGUGCAGGAAAAUGCCUAGAUCAUGCCUUAGCCCUGAAAGGACCACACAUCUACAAAAAAUGUCAGGGAGGAGAUAACUCUUCAUACCUCUAUAAUUUGGACUAUCAGCAAUCCCAAUUAAGUGAAGAUGCUUCCUAAGAUGACAGUGCAACUAAAUGCAUUAGUAACAAUUU
Molecule: long non-coding RNA, 1055 nt
Filed under: Androctonus crassicauda
Lineage: Eukaryota; Metazoa; Arthropoda; Arachnida; Scorpiones; Buthidae
Source: RNAcentral